Molecule: long non-coding RNA, 2762 nt
Filed under: Centruroides sculpturatus (bark scorpion)
Lineage: Eukaryota; Metazoa; Arthropoda; Arachnida; Scorpiones; Buthidae
Description: uncharacterized LOC111619373
Source: RNAcentral
CGCGUCAUAAGAACUGUCGAGAUAGAUGGAGGAGGUUGUCUUGUUGUUUGUGUCCCGGUCUUUGUUGUUUAUCGUCUAAGAAACGCUUCUGAAAUGGUUACGUAAGCAAUAUUAUUGUCUUCUGAAGAACAUUUGACGUAAAUAUAUUGAAUUGCUUCUACAAUUUCAUUCUAUUCUGGAACCUUUUGCAACAACAUCCAACUGAAAACUUUAAAUUGCUCAAAUUGCAUUGUCUAUUUCUGUAUGCAUGGAGCAUAGACUCAAAAGUGGAGGUCGAAACAAGAAGCUGAUGUCGACAGUGAGGCGACAGUCUGUUGCCAAAUUCUUUGCCAUUUCCUUUUGCUCAAAUUGGUGAUACCGUACAAGUACCUGAUGUCGACCAUGGCUGUACUGAUGCCAGAAAUGUGUUGGUGGUUGUUGUUGGAAUAGAAUAGGAAUAGAAGACUCUGACUUUUAUAAAUUAGCAAACAAAAAUGGUAUCCACAAGCAGCUUUAUACCCAUAAUCAGUUUGUAAUUUGUAAAAAAAAUUACUUUCCAUAUAUGAGAUAUCUUCUCAAGAAAUAUCUCUGAGAGAAGCAACUGCAGAUAAUUUGAAAAGUGGAGGCAAAGCUAUACAUGCUUCCAUUGAAAAAAGAGGUGUUCAACAAAUAAAUGCAGUUGUAAAAGCAAUGGACUUUUUUAAAAUUCCCCUUGACAUGGUUUUCUGUCCAUUGUGAGGGGACCUCCCAGCGAUGGUUAGUAAUUCUUCUUUACUAUCCCUGGGAUCUGAACGCCCACCCACGUUAGCCAUGCGUGGUACUCUGUAUGCCAGAAAGGGGAUACUUGUAGUUGAGGGGCAACAUAAUGUCCCAAACACACUGCUUUGGCCCCUGCUUCGUAUAAAUGGGAGGCUCAAAUCAGGUGCCAUUUGAGUCAAUCGGCUGGUUGUUGAGUCAUUCUUGACCUCGGCUUGGAGUCAACUGAUCGAUGCAGACCAGGCAGAUGCAGUCAAGAUGUGUUCUUCUUGACUGCAUUGUGAGGGUAUAGCUCCUGGGUAACCCUGGUGUGACGGCCUAUGGGAAUCUCCCAUGUGAUGGCAUUCCUUUGUUGGGUUCCAUGGUGGGUGGGGUCACUAGGAGCUGAAUAGUUAUUUCUAAAUAUGGAUUCAUCAAAGCAAAAAGAAAUACGUAUCAAUGCAUUGCCAUCAAAUGAGGUCAGUUCCUCCAACCAACCAUCUUAGCUCGUCAUUUAUGCUACGGGAAAAACACCUUUUUCUGAAUGUUCUGUUCCUGAUUCAGAAAAUCAUUGAAUCGACCAUUGGGCACCUUAAAAAAAUCCAAAAAUUGAGGUAAGGAGAUCUACUCUUAGAAGAAGCUUACCCUCAACAGUCAGAAAAGCUUUUAAAAACGAAGUCUCUAGGAGACAUACAAGUCACCAUCACACCACACACAAGUUUGAAUUCAUCACGUGGUGUGAUAUCUGAGAUCGAUCUGAUGUCUGAGGAUGAAACAAAUAUUCAGAUCAGUCUUUCAGACCAAGGUGUCGUUGCUGUUCGACGAAUUUCGAUCUGUCGAGACAGCAAGUUGAUACCAACUAAACACUUUAUUCUCACUUCUGGAAAGCUGGCAUUGCCAUCUUCUGUUACUGCAGGAUAUCUGCGUUGCCAUGUUUGCCUAUACAUUCCAAAUCUGCUGCGUUGCUUUAAAUGCCAGUGGUUUGGACAUUCACAAACAUCUUACCGAGGAAAAAGCUUAUAUACACAGUGUGGAAUUGAAGGCCACCAGAGUACUGAGUGCUUCAGUUCUCCACGCUGUGUAAACUGCAAAGAUGCCCAUCCUCCUUACUUUUGGAAAUGCCUUGCAUAACAGAGAGAGAAAGUGUUUACAGUUUUUACCCCCUGAAUCUAUCUAUCUUACCCAGAGGCUUAGCGCAUGGUCACCUCAAGCGCUCCUUUAAAACAGAAGACAUUUGCGGCUGCUGUGAAGUGUACAAAAAUGCUUGGGGUUCAAACUGAUAUUUCUGUUUUUUCAAAGGAAUCUCUUACUCAUAAUGCAAAAUGUUUAAUACUUCCAUCACAAGAAACACCAGAAAGGGAGAGUACAAAAGCAAAAACACACUCAUUUAAAAUAGAGGUAAUAACGAGAAACCUGGGUUCUAAAAAGGCUAGCAAGAACCCACUAAACAGAGUGAAAGCAGCUUUCUGUACAUAUCAUAUCUUUGUACAUGUAAAAAGUCAGAUGAUCUCUCUAUAAGUAAGUUUUUUGAUAUCUCGGAUAAAGAGACUAAUAUGCAUGUGACAAAAUUAACAUCACCUCCACAAGAAAAACCCCCUAUGAAAUUACAGAGUGAUACCCUUGCUAAAAAUGCUGCCUCAAACACAUAAUGGAUUAUGAAAUAAUCAAAUGGAACUGUCGUGGUUUUCGCAACAACUUUUCUGACGUUAAACACUUGACAUCAUCUACCUCUUCUUUCUGUGUGGCACUCCAGGAAACCCAUGUAAAACCUGGAGAAAAUAUUUCUUUAAAAGGAUUCGAUCUCUACCGCAAGGAUGAUGAUAGCCACAACUGUGCCAGUGGAGGUGUGGCUAUUCUGGUUUCAAAUUGCAUUUCAUUCUUACUGGUAUAAAUAACCACUGAUUUGCAAGCUGUGGCAGUCAGAAUUUUUAUCGGAGUAACUGUCACAGUUUGUUCUAUAUACUUACCACCAGACGUCAGAUUUAAUGAGGAUGCAUUGGUUGAACAUCUGCCAACUUCAAUCCUUUUAUUGGUUGAUUUGAAUGGUC